Non-coding RNA from Coturnix japonica (Japanese quail), 6499 nucleotides. NCBI's taxonomy places the organism in Eukaryota, Metazoa, Chordata, Aves, Galliformes, Phasianidae. The record is from RefSeq and is a predicted model, not a curated record.
CCUCCCUUCCCCCUCCCUCUCCCCUUUCGCUUUGAUUUCUCUCUCCUCCUCCCCCUGUGCUCGCCGUGUGUGUGUGUGUUUUUCGCCGCCGCCGCCGCUCUCCACCGAGCCCCUUGGCAUGAGUUAAGCACCAGCGAUGGACACCAAACACUUCCUGCCACUGGAUUUCUCAAACCAAGUCAAUUCCCCAUCCCUGAACUCUCCGACGAGCCGAGGCCCCAUGGCCACCCCAUCCCUGCACCCGUCCAUUGGGCCGGGCAUCGGCUCCUCGCUGGGCUCUCCGGGCCAGCUGCAUUCACCCAUCAGCACCCUGAGCUCGCCCAUCAAUGGCAUGGGGCCACCCUUCUCCGUCAUCAGCUCCCCCAUGGGCCCACACUCGAUGUCUGUCCCCUCCACACCCAGCCUGGGAUUCGGCACCAGCAGCCCACAGCUCAACUCACCCAUGAACCCCGUCAGCAGCUCAGAAGACAUCAAGCCACCCCUGGGGCUCAAUGGAGUCCUCAAAGUGCCAGCACAUCCCUCAGGAACAAUGGCCUCCUUCACCAAGCACAUAUGUGCCAUCUGCGGGGACAGAUCUUCAGGUAAACAUUAUGGGGUGUACAGCUGUGAGGGCUGCAAAGGCUUCUUCAAACGCACGGUGAGGAAGGACCUGACCUACACCUGCCGUGACAACAAGGACUGCUUGAUCGACAAGCGCCAGCGCAACCGCUGCCAGUACUGCCGCUACCAGAAGUGUCUUGCCAUGGGGAUGAAGAGGGAAGCUGUGCAGGAGGAGAGGCAGCGGGGGAAAGACCGCAACGAGAACGAGGUGGAGUCCACAAGUAGCGCCAACGAGGACAUGCCUGUGGAGAAGAUCCUGGAAGCAGAACUCGCUGUGGAGCCAAAGACAGAGACGUACAUUGAGGCAAACAUGGGCCUGACGCCGAGCUCGCCUAAUGACCCGGUGACGAACAUUUGCCAGGCGGCCGACAAGCAGCUCUUCACCUUGGUGGAGUGGGCCAAGAGGAUCCCCAGGUUCUCUGCGCUGCCAUUGGACGACCAGGUCAUCCUGCUCAGGGCCGGUUGGAAUGAGCUCCUCAUCGCCUCCUUCUCCCAUCGCUCCAUUGCUGUUCAGGACGGGAUCCUGCUGGCCACUGGGCUGCACGUGCACCGCAACAGCGCGCACAGCGCCGGCGUCGGGGCCAUCUUUGACAGAGUACUGACAGAACUCGUGUCGAAGAUGCGAGACAUGCAGAUGGACAAGACGGAGCUGGGCUGCCUCAGGGCCAUCAUCCUCUUUAACCCAGGUAUGUGCAGCCACCUCCUCUUGUGGCUGAUGCUGUGUCCUUUGGACUCCUUUUAUUACCCAUACAGCUCUCUUGCAAUUCACUGUGUGCGCUGCUGAGAAUGGGGCAGCAGGGACAGCUUACAGGCAUGUCCCAUGCCAGGUCUGGAUCCAUGCAUUGCCCCCAAUGACUCUCCUUUCCUAGAGGUGUUUUCCCCUCCCUCUUUGGAGGGGCUUUGGUUUGAUCCAUGUGUGCCUUCUCCCCAUUCUUAGCAUUCCAGCUUUGCAGAGUUGUGCUGCUGUAGGGAGUUGUUUCUAAACAGGAGCAAAAGUGGAUCUAGGUCUUUAAGAAAGACACAGGUAUGGAUCAGGGCAAAGGCAGAACAUGUUGUUAUUAUUAUUGUCCCCGUUCCCUGAUCCCACGCCAGGCUUUUCAGCAGGGUUCAGCGCUGUCUCUUGGUUUCGUUUUUCAGCUUGGCUUUUUAUUUCUUUCCUUCUUAUAAUCACCAGCAAUUUGUUGUCUGCUAUUUGGGAUGUAGCCGUAUUUGGUAAAAGAAGGCGAAACUGGAGAGGUUCCCAUCAUGUAUGUGCUUGGGGACAGUGACUUUGUCCCUGCUAAAUCCAGGUCCUUGUCACAUCAUGGGGUCCCCGAACAGGGGCUUUUCUUACAUCCCUGCUUAUAGGGCUUGGUGUGGGAGGGAGAAAUCCCUCGUGCUGAUGCCUUGAAGGCUUCAAACCUUUUGCUGAGGGUCUGUGACCACUGGAACGAGCCAAAUGGUUUGGGUUGGGAUAUGGAGUGUGGUGAAAUGGUGCACGGGGAGGCCUUGUACCCAUCUUAGGGCUGGCAACUGAUGUUCCCUUUCCUCACCCUUCAGACUCAAAAGGGCUCUCCAACCCGGCUGAAGUGGAGGCACUACGGGAGAAGGUGUACGCAUCGCUGGAGGCGUACUGCAAGCACAAAUACCCCGACCAGCCUGGGAGGUUCGCCAAGCUGCUGCUCCGCCUUCCGGCCCUUCGCUCCAUCGGCCUCAAAUGCCUGGAGCAUUUGUUCUUCUUCAAGCUAAUAGGCGACACGCCGAUCGACACCUUCUUGAUGGAAAUGCUGGAAGCACCCCAUCAAAUGACAUAGAGAACUGCCGCUGGGUCAGUCCUUCACCCGGCCAGGGCCAUGCGGGCUCCGUCCUCUGCUUCCUCCUCCUCUGCCCCAGCCCCUUCCCUCUGCUCCCCAAAUGCUGGAGGCACCGUCCGAGCUUCUCCGCGUGGUCCCCGGGGUGAACCCGCACCUCCUUGCCGCCUCAUCACGUUGACCCUUUUGUCCGUUCGCUGUCACUGCUGCAUCUAAAGACUUCUGAUGGCUGUUUUUUCCCCCCUGCGGUAGAUGUAGAGGAGUGGGGACGGAUGGCUUCGCAUCAGUGCCAGGAUGGCACGAACGUCAUGGGAGCAGGGAUGGUCUUAUCCAUCCCAUCCCAGCCCCACAGUGGGGUAUGGACUAGUCAAGGGAGUUGUUCGGCUCGCCGGAUUACAGCUGGCAAUUAUCAGAGGAUGGAGUUGGUUUUUUUGGUUUUUUUUUGGUGGUGUUUUUUUGGUUGUUAUUUUUUUGGUGUUUUUUUUUUUUUUUUUUUGGACAAGAGAAGAGGAAAAAAAAAAAAAGAAAAAAAAAAAAAGAAAAAGAAAAUGAUUCUAUUUUUGGUUUCUAACUAUUCUUAGUAGUCUCAGCAGUUCCUUCGCGAAGGGAGAGGCUGUGGGGAGGGGUGGCCCUCAUUGGGCCCUACCGGUGAGUCACCGCAUAGAGCCUCAUCCUCUCUGCUCAAAGCAAAGGGUUUGGGACUGAGCUCGAUCCCCCUUUGAACAACAUGGAGCUGCCCUGACCCCCUUCUGCUGCCCCCCAGUGAUGCUGCUCCUCUGGGACACGUGGCUGUGGUGCACUUGCUUUAAGGCUGAUAGGGAUGUGGUUCCAGCUUCCUGCAGCUCAUGUAGGGUCUUGCUGGGCUUCCUGCCCUUAUUUCUGUGCCCAACGUCCUGGCACAGCCCUGCAGGAGCUGCCUUAUUGCAGGUGCUGUCAUGCUGGAGCUGGUGGCUCAGCAGUUCUGCUGGAUUCUGUAGGUCCUAAGUUUGUGGAGGGGUAUUUCCAGCCAGAAGGUGGGCUCAGCAAAACACCCCACAUGCAGACUGUGGGGAGCAGCAGCCCUGCAACUGCCAGCACCCCAUGCAUGGUGUUUCAGCAGCUGCAAGGCAGCAGUUAGUGGGAGCUCUCAGCCCUGCUGCUCCCUGGGGGUGUUCAUUGGCAAUGAUGCAGGAAUGGGGUUCACUGUCCCUGAAUAUCCCUCAUUGGAAUGGUGGAGUGCCUGUGCCCUUCACCUCACGCUCUUGCAUUAACCAGGUGAGAAAAUGAGCGAGGAAAGCCGAGUGAAGUCUCUCAAUGGGGGUUUCUCCCUCUACAACAGGAUCGAGUAUCCCGAACUUGCCAUGGGCUGGGGGGAACCAAGGCUGAGUGCCUGCAGUUGGCCCUAAAAUGAGGGCUUCCCUGUGGCUUUCAUGUCUGCUGUGCUUCAAGACAGCAAAGUGUUUGGAUCCAAAGAGAAUGCGAUCUCCUGCAGAGCCCACCACCAUCUGCUCUGUGCCUGGGGAAUGCAGUUGUCACCUGCCUGUCCUCACCCCACUGGCAGCUUAAGUCCCAGCUCUAUCCCCAUCAGACCAUCUCCUCGCUACAGAAGUACUCAGGAUUUCAGGUCUGGCCCGAAAUGGCAAAUCCACAGAGGUGGGGAAAGUCUUUUGGCCGUCUUUCUCCAGCAGCCUGCAUGCCUCUGAAAAUAUUAUUAAACUGCUUCACCCUGGAAGAAUUUGCCAAGAAAAUAAGGCGAGAGAAAUGAAAUGUAGUGAGGGUGCUGAUAAACAGGGCUGCUCAGUGCCAGCGCAGCGUGAGUCUGGGGGCUGGCAGCAGUGGGGUCAGGGCGUGCUGGGGGUCGGUUGGCUGUGCACUAUAAUAAACCUGGACCCUUGUUUAUCUCCCUUGGGUAGAACCACUUCUUUUUUUUUUGUUUCUUUUAAUGAUUGACUGCUUGGAAGGGGCUGUUUUGGUUUGCACUGUUGGGCGACUGAGCAUGUGCCCUCUUCCCAUCCUUAUCCACCCCAUCCAUCAUAUCCAUCCCAUCUCUUCAAUCCCAUCCCAUCUAAUCGUGUCACAUCCCUUCACCUCCAUCACAUCUCAUCCCAUCCCAUUCCAUCCUUCCCAUCUGUCUCAUGCAUCCCAUCCUUCACACCCCACCCUCUCCCAUCUAUAUCAUUCAUCCCUUCCCGUCUCGCUCCGUCCCAUCCAUCCCACCCUGGUUACUGUUUGACCCCUACAAACACAAAUGCUGCGAGCAGUGGGCUGCCCUCAGCAUACAGCAGGUUGCAAAGCCCCCAUGCUGGGGUUCCCAGUCAGGACACAUCUCCAUGCCUUGGUUUCCCCAGAGCAGCACAUUGCUGGGAUUCCUGCCCCAUCGAGAUGAGGCUUUAGGGAAAGGCUGAGUGUUGUCCUGGCGUCAAGGGAGCUCCCACCUUGCUGUAAGUCAGCAUAGCUCUCUUUCACAGCAGCAGCCUUUUGGGGCUUAGCUCCCAGAGAUGAGCCCUGAUCCCCCAUCCAAGGCAGAAGGAUGAGCUCCCAUGCCCCGCUAUCACCUGCCGCAGCAGCCUUAAAGCAACCUGCUCUUGCAUGAGUUUGGCUCUUCAAUCUAUAUUCCUUUCCACUUUUUGGCUUUUAAUUAGUAUUAUUUUUUCCCCUCAUCGUAGUUAUUCUGACUAUAUUACGUGCUUGUUCGAAGAGGUGAUACAUGGGCGAAAGAAAGGUAAAAAAUAAAGGCACAUUAUCCACUAGCGAGGUAGGACUUUCAUUUAACCAGAUCUUAGUACUCUUGCCAACAAUCUGGUUCCCAUUAGGGCAAUUAGUUUUGAAAUAUAUCUAUAUUUUGAAUUUCUUUCUUGGUGGGACAAUCUUUAAUUUUCUAAAGAUAGCACAAACAUCAGCUUUUCAGCUCCCAUCAUCCGGGCUCAAAGGUGAUGCUGUCCCCAUCAGAGACUGGGCUCAUCGAUAUGUGCGUGUGUAUACAUGUAUGUACUGUAGAUAUAUACACUGUACAAAUAGCCUCACUCACAUAUACAUAUAUUAUGCCUGUAGCAAUGACAGACUUAUUUUUUUGUUGUUGUUUUAUGUUGAUUUCCCUUCUUUCCCUCCCCACAACGUGUUGUUUUUGCUACCCGUGAGCGAGUCCAUUGUAUGCGAACCCCUUUCCUGAUUGGCAAGCAAGCGCCAAAUCUGGGUCCUGGUAACUCGCGACAAAGGAGAUGCAUCUAUUUUAAGAUGCCUUUUUGUUUCGUUUCUGUUUCAUUCCCUUUGGUGUUGUUUUGGGUUGUUUUCCCUUUGGAGCAGCAGGUGGUGGUGAGGAGAAAUAGCUUUAGAUGUUCCCAAUGCUUAGCAAUGGAUGCCUUGGCUAUGGGGGGUUGCAUAGCUGAAAGAAACUACAGUAAAAUAUAGAAUGAUAACAGGAAAAAACACAAAAAAGAGGAAAGAUAAGGAAAAAAAAAUAUCUGAAGUGUCAAUAAAAGUUAAAAAAAAAAAAGAAAAAAAUAAGAAAAAAAAAUAUCUAUUUUUGUACAAAUGUAAUUUUAUCCCUGACGUUAUUACUUGGAUAUUUUUUUUUCUCCUGGAUUGUUUUUUGUUUCUUCUUACAGAGGUUGUUAUAAACGCUGUCUCUCUCUUUUUCUCUCACUUCUCCCUCUCUCUCUACGUGUCCGGGAUAGCGCUCAUAAGGGAGGGAGGAACUUCUGACCGUGUUUUAAAGGCUUUCUAUGAGAUCUCUUUUUGUUUGGAAUGAUUGGGGUUGGUUAUUUGGAACGAACUUCUUUCUUAUUUCCCCCUUCCCUCCCCCUAUAUCUCCUCCCCCCUGCUUACAAAAGUGUUUAUGAAGGGGGUUGGGAGGUGUAUAUGGAGGGAGGUGGGGGGAGUUGGGCUGGGGGUGUCUUUUGUCACACGUAUAUCUGGCGUUCCCGCAGGGCUGUAUUACUGUGAACUCACAACUACCGUCUGUUAUUAUUCACUUUAAAACAAAAACAAAAAAAGGCAAAAAGGAGAGAAAAAGAAAAAAAAAGAAGGAAAAAAAAAAAAAGAAACCUAAAAGAAUUGCUGCUGGAAAUGCCAGUAUUUGGAUGAACAAUUGUUGGUAGAAUUGUGGAGAAAAACAAACAAAAAAAAAAAAA